GUCGUUUUUAAUAGCUAACAAAUGAUUAGUGGGUCGACUAGAUUAUUCGCGUCCCGCUUUUCCCGUCUUUUGCCUUCCGCUCCUGGAGGAUCCAGAUUCGAUUCUCGGUCCUACUCCUUAAAAAUUUAUUGGUGGGAGCCGGGGCCGCCUCCAUCCUUGUCCUCCACCAAUGCCUCCACUUGGGCAGCCGGUGGCGGGAUCAAGGCCAGGACACGCUCCGUCCUUAAGUGCGAAUUAUGUUCUUAAGUGGGAAGUGACGUCAUCUGUUGACAAAAAAUGAUUACUGGUUUUUUCACUCUCGG
RNAcentral lists this long non-coding RNA (302 nucleotides) under Androctonus crassicauda. Lineage: Eukaryota; Metazoa; Arthropoda; Arachnida; Scorpiones; Buthidae. The record is from RNAcentral.